RNAcentral lists this ribosomal RNA (531 nucleotides) under Triticum aestivum (bread wheat). Its description in RNAcentral is "partial small subunit ribosomal RNA". The record is from RNAcentral. Lineage: Eukaryota; Viridiplantae; Streptophyta; Magnoliopsida; Poales; Poaceae.
AUGAAGGAGAAGGACAUACACAAAAUAGCCUUCACUACUUACUGUGGUCGCUAUGAAUUUCUAGUCAUGCCAUUUGGUUUGGCCAAUGCUCCAGGCACUUUUCAAGCUCUAAUGAACUUUGUAUUUGGCCCUCACCUCAGGAAAUUUAUACUAGUGUUCUCUGAUGACAUCCUCAUCUAUAGCAAAACCUUGAAGGGCCACAUCAAACAUGUGAGAAUAUCUUUACAACACCUCCAACAACAUCAAUUGGUUGUCAAGCUGUCCAAAUGUGUUUUCGCUGUACAACAAGCUGAGUACUUGGGCCAUAUUAUCACUGAAAAAGGAGUAGCAACAGAUCCUGCAAAAAAUGCUGCUGUGGUUAAUUGGCCUACACCAACCACAGUGACACAACUAAGGUUUUUUGGGGUCUCUGUGGAUAUUACAGGAGGUUCAUUCAACAGUUUGGCUCAAUUGCUAGACCUCUCAAUGAUCUUCUCAAAAAGGACAGUUUCCUUUGGACCUCUCAACAGGACAAGGCCUUUUCUUAGCUGA